RNAcentral lists this ribosomal RNA (340 nucleotides) under Leuconostoc sp. KIBGE HA3. RNAcentral describes it as "bacterial SSU rRNA". It matches the Rfam family "Bacterial small subunit ribosomal RNA", at positions 1191 to 1533 of the family's 1533-position model. Lineage: Bacteria; Bacillati; Bacillota; Bacilli; Lactobacillales; Lactobacillaceae. The record is from RNAcentral.
GACUCUGCUCAUUAUAACUGGGCUAUUCCUGCUACAAUGGCGUAUACAACGAGUUGCCAACCUGCGAAGGUGAGCUAAUCUCUUAAAGUACGUCUCAGUUCGGACUGCAGUCUGCAACUCGACUGCACGAAGUCGGAAUCGCUAGUAAUCGCGGAUCAGCACGCCGCGGUGAAUACGUUCCCGGGUCUUGUACACACCGCCCGUCACACCAUGGGAGUUUGUAAUGCCCAAAGCCGGUGGCCUAACCUUCGGGAGGGAGCCGUCUAAGGCAGGACAGAUGACUGGGGUGAAGUCGUAACAAGGUAGCCGUAGGAGAACCUGCGGUUGGAUCACCUCCUAA